RNAcentral lists this ribosomal RNA (465 nucleotides) under Vreelandella stevensii. RNAcentral's name for it is "partial 16S ribosomal RNA". It matches the Rfam family "Bacterial small subunit ribosomal RNA", at positions 338 to 795 of the family's 1533-position model. Lineage: Bacteria; Pseudomonadati; Pseudomonadota; Gammaproteobacteria; Oceanospirillales; Halomonadaceae. The record is from RNAcentral.
CCUACGGGGGGCUGCAGUGGGGAAUAUUGGACAAUGGGGGCAACCCUGAUCCAGCCAUGCCGCGUGUGUGAAGAAGGCCCUCGGGUUGUAAAGCACUUUCAGUGAGGAAGAACGCCUGGUGGUUAAUACCCAUCAGGAAAGACAUCACUCACAGAAGAAGCACCGGCUAACUCCGUGCCAGCAGCCGCGGUAAUACGGAGGGUGCGAGCGUUAAUCGGAAUUACUGGGCGUAAAGCGCGCGUAGGUGGCUUGAUAAGCCGGUUGUGAAAGCCCCGGGCUCAACCUGGGAACGGCAUCCGGAACUGUCAAGCUAGAGUGCAGGAGAGGAAGGUAGAAUUCCCGGUGUAGCGGUGAAAUGCGUAGAGAUCGGGAGGAAUACCAGUGGCGAAGGCGGCCUUCUGGACUGACACUGACACUGAGGUGCGAAAGCGUGGGUAGCAAACAGGAUUAGAUACCUCUGUAGUC